CAGCAGCCGCGGUAAUACGUAGGUCCCGAGCGUUGUCCGGAUUUAUUGGGCGUAAAGCGAGCGCAGGCGGUUAGAUAAGUCUGAAGUUAAAGGCUGUGGCUUAACCAUAGUACGCUUUGGAAACUGUUUAACUUGAGUGCAAGAGGGGAGAGUGGAAUUCCAUGUGUAGCGGUGAAAUGCGUAGAUAUAUGGAGGAACACCGGUGGCGAAAGCGGCUCUCUGGCUUGUAACUGACGCUGAGGCUCGAAAGCGUGGGGAGCAAACAGGAUUAGAUACCCCAGUAGUCCCUGUCUCUUAUACC
This 301-nucleotide ribosomal RNA is filed under the name uncultured bacterium. Its description in RNAcentral is "partial 16S ribosomal RNA". It matches the Rfam family "Bacterial small subunit ribosomal RNA", at positions 509 to 808 of the family's 1533-position model. The record is from RNAcentral.